CAUAAUGCAGUCGAGCGCACUGGCCCAACUGAUAUGACGUGCUUGCACUGAAUUGACGUUGGAUUACCAGUGAGCGGCGGACGGGUGAGUAACACGUGGGCAACCUGCCCUGAAGCGGGGGAUAACAUCUGGAAACAGGUGCUAAUACCGCAUAACAACGAAAACCACAUGGUUUUCGUUUCAAAGAUGGUUUCGGCUAUCACUUCAGGAUGGGCCCGCGGUGCAUUAGCUAGUUGGUAAGGUAACGGCUUACCAAGGCAAUGAUGCAUAGCCGAGUUGAGAGACUGAUCGGCCACAAUGGAACUGAGACACGGUCCAUACUCCUACGGGAGGCAGCAGUAGGGAAUCUUCCACAAUGGGCGCAAGCCUGAUGGAGCAACACCGCGUGAGUGAAGAAGGGUUUCGGCUCGUAAAGCUCUGUUGUUGGAGAAGAACGUGCGUGAGAGUAACUGUUCACGCAGUGACGGUAUCCAACCAGAAAGUCACGGCUAACUACGUGCCAGCAGCCGCGGUAAUACGUAGGUGGCAAGCGUUAUCCGGAUUUAUUGGGCGUAAAGCGAGCGCAGGCGGUUGCUUAGGUCUGAUGUGAAAGCCUUCGGCUUAACCGAAGAAGGGCAUCGGAAACCGGGCGACUUGAGUGCAGAAGAGGACAGUGGAACUCCAUGUGUAGCGGUGGAAUGCGUAGAUAUAUGGAAGAACACCAGUGGCGAAGGCGGCUGUCUGGUCUGCAACUGACGCUGAGGCUCGAAAGCAUGGGUAGCGAACAGGAUUAGAUACCCUGGUAGUCCAUGCCGUAAACGAUGAGUGCUAGGGUUUGGGAGGGUUUCCGCCCUUCAGUGCCGGAGCUAACGCAUUAAGCACUCCGCCUGGGGAGUACGACCGCAAGGUUGAAACUCAAAGGAAUUGACGGGGGCCCGCACAAGCGGUGGAGCAUGUGGUUUAAUUCGAAGCUACGCGAAGAACCU
This 965-nucleotide ribosomal RNA is filed under the name Limosilactobacillus vaginalis. RNAcentral describes it as "bacterial SSU rRNA". It matches the Rfam family "Bacterial small subunit ribosomal RNA", at positions 47 to 971 of the family's 1533-position model. The record is from RNAcentral. Lineage: Bacteria; Bacillati; Bacillota; Bacilli; Lactobacillales; Lactobacillaceae.